Long non-coding RNA from Scylla paramamosain (green mud crab), 1080 nucleotides. RefSeq lists it as uncharacterized. The transcript is spliced from 3 exons. Lineage: Eukaryota; Metazoa; Arthropoda; Malacostraca; Decapoda; Portunidae. The record is from RefSeq and is a predicted model, not a curated record.
CCAAGUCUUGGGAAAACCAUGAGUGGAGCACAAGCAGUCUGUCCACACUGAAAAUUUUGAGCUCAAGCAUACCAGCAGCACAACACAUCUGCUGAACAAUGCAGCUCCAAUUCCUGCAGAUAAACGAACUUCAGGCACAUACCACAGAGCAUUUCUGUGACUACACAACUGUGUUAUAACUGACUGAAUUGUGGUAAAGUGGCUUACAGCAGGAAAGGAAACACAACCGGCACAUCUGAGUCAAGCAUGUUAACCGAUGUGAUGAGCAAUGUGAACAAGUAUUUUAAGAUGUUUUUGGCAAGGAAAAGAUGUGGUGGGAAUAAUGACUGUAUAUAAGGUUUAUAAUUACUGUUAAUCACUUACUUGAAGAGGACAGUUGUUGUGGGUAUGGGAAAAGUGUAAGAUGGCAGAGGUGAGAUAGAAAGAGAAAAGUUGUUAACCUAUUCUGUUACUAACAGAGGUAAUAGCAUUACUCAAGAAAAUAAAUGCAUAUACUAGUAUGCUAAUAAUGACACAAAGUUAUGCUAAUAUAUUCCAUAUUUCCAUAUUUACAGGGACACCAUCCACACCACCCAAGACAGUCCAGCAAUCUGGAAGGAAGACCAGCACAAUACCACAGCAAUUGAUGCAAAGAGCAGCAGAUUUCCUGCCUCCCAGGAUGUUGUAAUUUUUCACUGGACAUCAAUGAUAUGCUUUGAUUAGUGUGACAGUGGAGGACGAGGAGGAAGAGGAGGAGGCAGCUUGCUGUAGCAGUAUAUUAUCACAGUCCUAAAAGGAUUACAGUAAGCACUGCAUUUCUCGUUGAGAAACAUUUUGUUAGCAGGAGCAACAAACUCUGGCAGUCCUGUAAAGGAAGUUACUUUAAGGCAAUAUAUCUCAUGUAAUGAGUAUCAUCAAAGAUUUGUUUAAUUUUUACCAGGUUUCUGAUUCCAUCAUUGGAGGCAAGGAUACUAGUGAACAUGACAAAAGUUUGAAACUUGGAAACCAUGCAUUUUUGUUUGUGAUUAAAGAACUGAGAAAUGGAAAUUUUUUAGGUUAUUCCUUUUAUCUGGGAAAGACUGAUAUUAUGCAGAGUGUGAG